RNAcentral lists this ribosomal RNA (565 nucleotides) under uncultured bacterium. RNAcentral describes it as "partial 16S ribosomal RNA". It matches the Rfam family "Bacterial small subunit ribosomal RNA", at positions 355 to 914 of the family's 1533-position model. The record is from RNAcentral.
UGGGGAAUUUUGGACAAUGGGGGAACCCUGAUCCAGCCAUCCCGCGUGUGCGAUGAAGGCCUUCGGGUUGUAAAGCACUUUUGGCAGGAAAGAAACGUCGCGGGUUAAUACCCCGCGAAACUGACGGUACCUGCAGAAUAAGCACCGGCUAACUACGUGCCAGCAGCCGCGGUAAUACGUAGGGUGCAAGCGUUAAUCGGAAUUACUGGGCGUAAAGCGUGCGCAGGCGGUUCGGAAAGAAAGAUGUGAAAUCCCAGAGCUUAACUUUGGAACUGCAUUUUUAACUACCGGGCUAGAGUGUGUCAGAGGGAGGUGGAAUUCCGCGUGUAGCAGUGAAAUGCGUAGAUAUGCGGAGGAACACCGAUGGCGAAGGCAGCCUCCUGGGAUAACACUGACGCUCAUGCACGAAAGCGUGGGGAGCAAACAGGAUUAGAUACCCUGGUAGUCCACGCCCUAAACGAUGUCAACUAGCUGUUGGGGCCUUCGGGCCUUGGUAGCGCAGCUAACGCGUGAAGUUGACCGCCUGGGGAGUACGGUCGCAAGAUUAAAACUCAAAUGAAUUGAC